UUCCUUAGCUCAGUUGGUGGAGCGCGAGACACUUAAUCUCAGGGUUGUGGGUUUGAGCCCCAUGCUGGGCAAAA
Podarcis lilfordi (Lilford's wall lizard) is the source of this 74-nucleotide non-coding RNA. The record is from the annotation of a GenBank genome assembly. Lineage: Eukaryota; Metazoa; Chordata; Lepidosauria; Squamata; Lacertidae.